This 383-nucleotide ribosomal RNA is filed under the name uncultured eukaryote. Its description in RNAcentral is "partial 18S ribosomal RNA". It matches the Rfam family "Eukaryotic small subunit ribosomal RNA", at positions 592 to 976 of the family's 1831-position model. The record is from RNAcentral.
CAAUAGCGUAUAUUAAAGUUGUUGCAGUUAAAAAGCUCGUAGUUGGAUUUCUGGUGGGAGCGAUCGGUCUGGCGCUUAGCGCGAGUACUUGCAUCGUCUCCGGCCAUCCUUGGGGAGAGUCUGUCUGGCAUUAGGUUGUCGGGCAGAGGAUCCUCAUCGUUUACUGUGAAAAAAUUAGAGUGUUCAAAGCAGGCUUAUGCCGUUGAAUAUAUUAGCAUGGAAUAAUAAGAUAGGACUUUGGUACUAUUUUGUUGGUUUGCGCACCAAAGUAAUGAUUAAUAGGGACAGUUGGGGGUAUUCGUAUUCCGUUGUCAGAGGUUAAAUUCUUGGAUUUACGGAAGACGAACUACUGCGAAAGCAUUUACCAAGGAUGUUUUCAUUAA